CCUGUUUAGAAAGACACAAGAAAAGCAGCUGCUGCAUCCUACAACAGGUUCCAGGUACUUGUUCGAGGCUGUACUUUCAUCCUGAGAAUCGCAGUGAACUGCAGCUUUGGAAACUGAUCACAGAAGUAGCGGCUACUCUGACAUCCAGGAUGCAAAAGAAGCCGAGGAUACCUACCUACCCGAAUUGCUCCUUGAUUAGUGCUCAAGACAUUCGACAGUAUGACAUUUUCAUUUCCAGCCACCUAGUGACGGUGAAUCCUAUUAAAGGAUCCUUAGAAUAUCCUUUCCAAAACAAAGAUCAGUAGUGAAACCUAAUCACGGAAGCAGUUAAAGGAGGUGAACGAGAGAUUCUGUGCAGCCAGACAAGACUUUGAAGAGGCAGUUCUGGAGACAUUAGACACAAAGCAAUAUUAAGAGAAGACAGAUGUAUCCCAAGGUGCCUGUGCCCAGGAAAGGUUAAAGUCAAAUUUGUGUCUGCAACAAAGGUAUAUGAACCCCCCAGUCACCCCUCAUUAAUAAUAAAAUGGGUACCUCUUGCCACAAAAGCAACCUAGCAAGUUGAUCUUGAGACACACUGAGGUAAGACUGUAGUUAUCAUUUCUGUUUUUAUAAAUAGCAUUGUUAAUGUCCCUUGUGGGCUUGUUAUGGGGCCUUCCAAAAAUACACUUCUAUAUAUUUUAUUUCUCAAAAUUUUAUGCUAUACAAUAAAAUGCUAUUAUUUGAGGAGAAAUGGGAGAUAUUCUAAAAAAAUCAAACAUGUAAUGAGCUAUACCAGGUAUACUGAAAAAAAAAUGUCAAGUUCACUAAAUUUAAUUUUAAAAAGUUUUUAUUUUACAAGGAAAUAAGGCUAAAUUAUGGCUCCAAAUUAUAAUUCUUAUGAUUUGGGCUUGAUGGUCAUCCCAAUACUACUGUUAUCUUUAAAUUGGCAUGGCUGGGUUCAAUUCUACCCAGGGCAGAAGCAUGCCCUCAUUUUCCUGAUGCUCAGGCUCUCUGUCCUUUUAGGUAACUAAAAUCUUUAGCAUAAUCUUCCUGUGAAGAUGCUACAAGUGACUCCAUUGUGGGUGGACCUAUAAAGGCCAGCUGGUAUUUUCUCCUGUGUGUGGACAGUGUAAAGAUGUUGACUUGACAUCUUGUUGAUGUGACCUUUUAGCAUACACACCUGAGUUUUGGUGCCCAUGACCUUACUGGGUCAAAUGGCCACCACACAAUCUGCCAGAAGGGAUGCUCCCCUGUUAAGAGCAGGGUGUCAUCUGACUGUAGAUUGCUGACUUGAGGUCUUGCCCAAUAGGACUUUUCCUUCCACAGUAUAUGUACAGUAGACUCAAAAGGCAGUGAGCACAUUCAAAGCUACAUGGUCACUCUUACUUUGCCUUAAUCUUCAGUCUUCAAGGAGCUCAAGGCUGGGGCAGCCAGUUCUCAUGAUCUGCCUACCUUUCCUGCCCCUAUGAGGAAGAUUUUCACUUCAUUUCAAGCUAGCUUUACUUUGCCUCUGGUCUCCACUAAUCCUUUGGUGAGCAACCUUACCUACCUUUGUCAAGGACAGAAUGUUUUCCCAGUUUUCAUAUAGCAUGAAUGGUGUAUAUGCAGUUUAGGCUACACAACAGUGGAAGAGGGGCAAACAACAUGCCCCAGAUUGCUAGGUCUCCUGGGAAAAGACCCAGCAUCACUCACCUUUACAGCAAACCUUCCCCCAGUGUCCUGAAAUUCCUGUCCCCAACUGUGCAUGUUCCCCAUCAUUCCUGUCCACUUACUUUAUUCAAAUGCACUGCACUCUUUAUCUUGUAGCUUUCAGAUAGAAUGUUCCAAAUUCCUGGCCAUUUACCCAGAAAUCUCAGUUCCCUAUAGGUAAUUCAUCUGCUGAGGCCCAUUCUUAUUCCUAAGUUUCCUAAACAACUUGAGACUCAGGGAAUAACUAAUAGUCAUUUGUCAAUUAUUUUCAAACCACAAGUUUCUGCUGGAGGCUCCAUGGAAGCAGGAUGGGGGCAGCUUGUGUUUCGUUUUGAUGCAUUCCCCAGCAGUUCCAAGAGCCAUGCCUUUCAUGCAACCAACAUUCAUUAACAACAACAACAACAACAACAACAACAACAACAAAAACCUAACAAUAUAGAAUGCAGAAUAAAUCUUUAAGCCCUCAACAUAUUUCAAAACUUGUUUUUAUGAACAAAUCAGUAACUGACAAUCAUUUAUAUAUAUGGAGUGCUUUUGGUCUCUUAAGCAUAAAUAAGAGAGAUGGAAAGGGGAAAACACUCACCAUG
Long non-coding RNA from Mus musculus (house mouse), 2255 nucleotides. RefSeq annotates it as predicted gene, 46623. Lineage: Eukaryota; Metazoa; Chordata; Mammalia; Rodentia; Muridae. The record is from RefSeq and is a predicted model, not a curated record. The transcript has 3 exons.